Molecule: ribosomal RNA, 233 nt
Filed under: uncultured bacterium
Lineage: Bacteria
Description: partial 16S ribosomal RNA
Rfam family: Bacterial small subunit ribosomal RNA
Source: RNAcentral
UCUCAGCCGUAAACGAUGGACACUAGGUGUGGGCCAUAAGGUCCGUGCCGUAGUUAACGCGUUAAGUGUCCCGCCUGGGGAGUACGCCCGCAAGGGUGAAACUCAAAGGAAUUGACGGGGACCCGCACAAGCGGUGGAGGAUGUGGUUCAAUUCGAGGCAACGCGAAGAACCUUACCUGGGCUUGACAUGUAGGUAGUAGAAACCUGAAAGGGUGACCACCGGUAACCAGUCC